ACCCGCUGAACUUAAGCAUAUCAGUAAGCGGAGGAAAAGAAACUAACUAGGAUUCCCCGAGUAGCGGCGAGCGAAAGGGGAGAAGCCCAGCGCUGAAGCCCGCGGCCUCCGGUCGCGGUGCAAUGUGGCGUUUCGGCGGCGUCUUGCCGCGCCGGCUCCGGCACGCGUACCUCUGAAUGGGUCUGCCCGCAGCGGGUGUCAGGCCUCUAGGUGCCAGGUGAGCCGACGCGGCCCGGCGUCCGUCGCGGAGUCGGGUUGCUUGAGAGUGCAGCCCAAAGUGGGUGGUAAGCUCCAUCUAAGGCUAAAUACCUAGUGCGAGACCGAUAGCAAACAAGUACCGUGAGGGAAAGUUGCAAAGAACUUUGAAAAGAGAGUUCAAGAGUACGUGAAACCGUUCAGAGGCAAACGGACGGAACUGGGCGAGUUCGCCGCCGCCAUUCAGCCGCGCGCCCGCGCGCGGUGCACUUGGCGGCGGCGGAGCGCGACGACCGCCUGUCGGGUCGUCUGAAGCCCGGCGGCAAGGUGGCGACGCGCUCGCGCGUCGUGUUACAGGCCGCCGCGGCGUCGGCAGACCUGGCGGGCGAGGAGCGCCCGCGGUGCCCUCUCGCCCCUCGGGGCGGGAGCGGCCCGCGCGCUGGGCUUGCGGCCGUCGGCGGCGAACUGCUCGCAGUUUGCCGCUUGGCGCGUCGCUCGUCUCGGCGCGCGGUGCCGCGGGCACCCGGGGUCCGGGUCGUGUGGUUCCUGGCACUCCGUCCGACCCGUCUUGAAACACGGACCAAGGAGUUGAGCACGCGCGCGAGUCGAUGGGCUCUCGAGAACCCCAGUGGCGCAGCUAAGGCAAAACGGGCGUGAUCCGGCACUGGCGUGCCGGCGCAACGCCGGCCCGCAGCCGACUCGUUGCGAGUGGCUGCGGUGCAAGAGCGUGCGUGCUCAGACCCGAAAGGUGGUGAACUAUGCUUGAGCAGGGCGAAGCCAGAGGAAACUCUGGUGGAGGCUCGCAGCGAUCCUGACGUGCAAAUCGGUCGUCAAACUUGAGCAUAGGGGCGAAAGACUAAUCGAACCGCCUAGUAGCUGGUUCCCUCCGAAGUUUCCCUCAGGAUAGCUGGCACUCGGGAUAAAUGGUUUUAUCCGGUAAAGCGAAUGAUUAGAGGCAUUGGGGACGAAACGUCCUCAACCUAUUCUCAAACUUUAAAUGGGUAAGAGGCGCGACCCUUCCUGAUACGGGGUCGCGUGCUUGAACAGAGAGUGCCCAGUGGGCCGUUUUUGGUAAGCAGAACUGGCGCUGUGGGAUGAACCAAACGCGCGGUUAGGGUGCCUAACGCACGCUCAUGAGACACCACAAAAGGUGUUGGUUGAUAUAGACAGCAGGACGGUGGCCAUGGAAGUCGGAAUCCGCUAAGGAGUGUGUAACAACUCACCUGCCGAAUCAACUAGCCCUGAAAAUGGAUGGCGCUGGAGCGUGCGACCCAUACCGCGCCGUCGGGGCAACGCGUGCGAAAUGCCAGGCCCCGACGAGUAGGAGGGCGCGUCGGUGGCGUUGAAGCGUAGUGCGUGGGCACGCGUGGAGCCGCCUUCGGUGCAGAUCUUGGUGGUAGUAGCAAGUAUACAAAUGAGAACUUUGUAGACCGAAGUGGAGAAGGGUUCCAUGUGAACAGCAGUUGGACAUGGGUCAGUCGGCCCUAAGAGAUCGGAAAAUUCCGUUCUGAACGGGGAGAGAGGUGGUGGUCGGAGCCGUCCGGGCCGGUGUGGCCCGGCGCGCCGUCAAAGGUUGGCUGGCCGCGCGAUGCCAGCGCGCUCGGACUUUGGCGUCCGGAGAGCGACUUUCAGAGCAGGAGUCGCGUCGUGCGUCGAGCGGUUUGUGUGCAGCGCGCCGUCAAAGCAGGGUAAUCCGAUGUGUGACGGAAGCGCGGCAGCGCGCCACAACCGAGCGACGCGGCCGACGCGGCCGCCGGCGCCCCUGUCGUAGCGGGGGACCCCCUGUCGUAGCGGGGGGAUAGUGCUGGCGGCCGCGAGCGGCGGCGACGCGGCGACAUAGCUGCCGCCUAGUUCUCCGCGACGUUGCCACACGCCCGCCUCCUUCCUUGAGGAGAGGAGAGAGCGGGCGAUGGAUACCCGAACAAGGUACAGUUGCAAAAACGAGAGCGCGCUGAAGGCGCGGCCGGCGGCUGGGCGCCCGGCCGGACGGUCGACCGCGCACUCGGGAAGGUGUCCCCGAUGCGAUCGAAAGGGAAUCGGGUUAAUAUUCCCGAACCUGGCAGUGGAGAUUGGGCCCUCGGGCCCCAGUGCGGUAACGCAACCGAACUCGGAGACGCCAGCGUCGAUCCCGGGAAGAGUUCUCUUUUCUUUGUUAGGAGCGGACUCCCUGGAAUUGGCUUGUCCAGAGAUAGGGACGUUGCAUCCGUAAAGCGUCGCGCCUCACGCGGCGUCCGGUGCAUCGGCGCUGGCCCUUGAAAAUCCGAGGAAGGCAGUGUAAUUUUCACUCCAGGCCGUACCCGAAUCCGCAGCAGGUCUCCAAGGUGAACAGCCUCUGGUCGAUAGAACAAUGUAGGUAAGGGAAGUCGGCAAAUCCGAUCCGUAACUUCGGGACAAGGAUUGGCUCUGAGGUGCGGGCUGCUUCGGGUCGCGGCAAGAAGCGGACCGCGCGUUGGCUGGACUGGGUGCGCCUCGCGUGCGCCCGGACCGCCGCCAGCGCGCGUCCGUGGGCGGCCGUUGCUUUCGCCGGCGUCGGCCUCGGUCGGCGUCGGCUUCGUUCGGCCUAAACGCACGGCACAGAACUGGCACGGACUCUGAGAACACGACUGUCUAAUUAAAACAAAGCAUCGCGAUGGCCGCUGGUCGGUGUUGACGCGAUGUGAUUUCUGCCCAGUGCUUUGAAUGUCAAAGUGAAGAAAUUCAACCAAGCGCAGGUAAACGGCGGGAGUAACUAUGACUCUCUUAAGGUAGCCAAAUGCCUCGUCAUCUAAUUAGUGACGCGCAUGAAUGGAUUAACGAUGUUCUCACUGUCCCUAUCUACUAUCUAGCGAAACCACAGCCAAGGGAACGGGCUUGGCAAAUACAGCGGGGAAAG
Molecule: ribosomal RNA, 3067 nt
Filed under: Powellitheca sp. n. RJO-2020
Lineage: Eukaryota; Metazoa; Bryozoa; Gymnolaemata; Cheilostomatida; Powellithecidae
Description: partial large subunit ribosomal RNA
Rfam family: Eukaryotic large subunit ribosomal RNA
Source: RNAcentral